AACUUUCAGCAACGGAUCUCUUGGCUCUCGCAUCGAUGAAGAACGCAGCGAAAUGCGACAAGUAAUGUGAAUUGCAGAAUUCAGUGAAUCAUCGAAUCUUUGAACGCACCUUGCGCUCCUUGGUAUUCCGAGGAGCAUGCCUGUUUGAGUGUCAUUAAAUUCUCAAUCUCUCUUUCUUUCUUGAAAGAGGCUUUGGAUUUGGAGUGUUGCUGGCUUUUUGUUGGCUUCUCUUAAAUGCAUUAGCUUGAUAUUCUUUUGUGGAUAGGCUUUGGUUUGAUAAUAUCUAUGCCAUUGCUGUGAAACAAAUGUCAGCUUCUAAUUGUCCUCUUCUUUGGACAAACUCUUUGACAUUUUGACCUCAAAUCAGGUAGGACUACCCGCUGAACUUAAGCAUAUCAAUAAGCGGAGGCU
RNAcentral lists this unclassified non-coding RNA (411 nucleotides) under uncultured Hygrophorus. RNAcentral's name for it is "sequence contains ITS2". The stretch from base 1 to 154 matches the Rfam family "5.8S ribosomal RNA". Lineage: Eukaryota; Fungi; Basidiomycota; Agaricomycetes; Agaricales; Hygrophoraceae. The record is from RNAcentral.